This 253-nucleotide ribosomal RNA is filed under the name uncultured bacterium. RNAcentral describes it as "partial 16S ribosomal RNA". It matches the Rfam family "Bacterial small subunit ribosomal RNA", at positions 524 to 776 of the family's 1533-position model. The record is from RNAcentral.
UACGAAGGGGGCUAGCGUUGUUCGGAUUUACUGGGCGUAAAGCGCACGUAGGCGGACUUUUAAGUCAGGGGUGAAAUCCCAGAGCUCAACUCUGGAACUGCCUUUGAUACUGGAAGUCUUGAGUAUGGUAGAGGUGAGUGGAAUUCCGAGUGUAGAGGUGAAAUUCGUAGAUAUCGGGAGGAACACCAAUGGCGAAGGCAGCUCGCUGGGACGUUACUGACGCUGAGACGCGAAAGCGUGGGGAGCAAACAGG